AAGGAUCAUUAGUGAAUUUUAGGGCGUGCUUUCGAGCAGCCUGACCUCCACUUUCUACUCUGUGCACCUUUUUCACAUUGGGGUCUGCUUGGUGCGCCUUCACGGGCCACCGGUUUCCCCUUUGUAUUUACUUUAAACCUGAGUUUAAGAAUGUAACAAAAAACCAUAACAAAAAAAAACUUUCAACAACGGAUCUCUUGGCUCUCGCAUCGAUGAAGAACGCAGCGAAAUGUGAUAAGUAAUGUGAAUUGCAGAAUUCAGUGAAUCAUCGAAUCUUUGAACGCACCUUGCGCUCUCUGGUAUUCCGGAGAGCAUGCCUGUUUGAGUGUCAUGAACUCUUCAACCCACCCUUUCCUUGUUGAUCGGUGCUGGUGUUUGGAUCUUGAACGUUUUGCAGACUGCUUGUCAGCCUGCUCGUUCGUAAUGCAUUAGCCUUCUCAAUUUCGAACUUCGGAUUGACUCAGCGUAAUAGACUAUUCGCUGAGGACACUGGUUUCUAAUCGGUGGCCGAACUGUAGAUAACUACGAAGCUUCUAAUCUCAAUUUGUAGUCAAUUUUUUUGAAUUUAGACCUCAAAUCAGGCAGGAUUACCCGCUGAACUUAA
Molecule: ribosomal RNA, 604 nt
Filed under: Sporobolomyces aff. inositophilus UCDFST 72-354
Lineage: Eukaryota; Fungi; Basidiomycota; Microbotryomycetes; Sporidiobolales; Sporidiobolaceae
Description: eukaryotic LSU rRNA
Rfam family: 5.8S ribosomal RNA (bases 178-331)
Source: RNAcentral